Molecule: ribosomal RNA, 301 nt
Filed under: uncultured bacterium
Lineage: Bacteria
Description: partial 16S ribosomal RNA
Rfam family: Bacterial small subunit ribosomal RNA
Source: RNAcentral
CAGUAGCCGCGGGAAUACGUAGGUGGCAAGCGUUGUCCGGAAUUAUUGGGCGUAAAGGGCUCGCAGGCGGUUUCUUAAGUCUGAUGUGAAAGCCCCCGGCUCAACCGGGGAGGGUCAUUGGAAACUGGGAAACUUGAGUGCAGAAGAGGAGAGUGGAAUUCCACGUGUAGCGGUGAAAUGCGUAGAGAUGUGAAGGAACACCAGUGGCGAAGGCGACUCUCUGGUCUGUAACUGACGCUGAGGAGCAAAAGCGUGGGGAGCGAACAGGAUUAGAUACCCCAGUAGUCCCUGUCUCUUAUAC